CUCGCUCUCAAAAGGGGAAGAUCAGUUUCGAGGGUUAAAAGGCUCCAUACUUCGGCGAUUUCUUGGACUCUCCAACCGCCUCCUUCAAAUUCGAAACUCCUCUAAGAACCCUAUAAAGAGUUUUCCAAGCUUUCCCCCUCUUCAUCUUCUUUGAUUUCAUCGAUCCCACUCAAGGAAACUAGGGUUUCAAACACCGUUUCUCGAGCUCGAACUUCUUGUUGCAAUUUUUCAUCACUGAAGCUUGUUCCUCCUUUGAUCCCAGGAACUUGAGAUUGCUCUCUUCUUUGCUCAAGGUUCUCGUGCUUAACCCACCUUCGAGCUCUCUCUUUUUAAUUUCAGAUUAGCUAUGUUGACGAGGAGAUCACGUAUCCCGAGGGGUCGCUCAGUCGCUGAAUCACCUGAGAGGGAGCCCCUGUCUUUCACAGGGACUAUUAUCGAGGCUCGGUCAUCGGUUCCUGAGACACAACUCUGCAUCCCUUCAGAAUAGCUGACUGUAGUGACUGUCGCAACCGUGGGUGCGAGCUUUACUAAACAAGACGUGAGACCAACUAAAUAAGUUGGUGCGUCAACGACUGUUACACUAUAGUACUUUCAUCAGUUCAUGAGGUUGGGCAGGCGGAAUCGAGUGCGGGGCGUUCAGCUGAAGAAAGCUCUGCAGGCGUUGGGUUCUCAUCUCAUAUUCACAAUGUUGUUAAGGCGCUACUGUCGGACGAUGACCCAGAUCAAACCCUGCUCUGCAUGGAGAUCAGUUCCCUCUUUUUCUUUAUGAGCAUGAUAAUCGAUAAGAUCCUUCUCAAGGGGCUUUCCUUCCAUCAAUUCAGACCAGCGUUGGCUACCAAAGUAAAUGCAAUAGAGAGUGUGGGAUCUCCAGACCUAGAGAAAGCUAUAGUUGAUGAU
Molecule: long non-coding RNA, 897 nt
Organism: Asparagus officinalis (garden asparagus)
Lineage: Eukaryota; Viridiplantae; Streptophyta; Magnoliopsida; Asparagales; Asparagaceae
Exons: 5
Source: RefSeq, a predicted model, not a curated record